GAGGAUAUAACUUAGUACGGCUUAAAGUGCUGGUCUGUCACGCCAGAAAUCACGGGUUCAAAUCCCGUUAUCCCCG
This 76-nucleotide transfer RNA is filed under the name Gloeochaete wittrockiana. RNAcentral describes it as "tRNA-Asp". It matches the Rfam family "tRNA". Rfam says of the family: Transfer RNA (tRNA) molecules are approximately 80 nucleotides in length. Their secondary structure includes four short double-helical elements and three loops (D, anti-codon, and T loops). Further hydrogen bonds mediate the characteristic L-shaped molecular structure. tRNAs have two regions of fundamental functional importance: the anti-codon, which is responsible for specific mRNA codon recognition, and the 3' end, to which the tRNAs corresponding amino acid is attached (by aminoacyl-tRNA synthetases). tRNAs cope with the degeneracy of the genetic code in two manners: having more than one tRNA (with a specific anti-codon) for a particular amino acid; and 'wobble' base-pairing, i.e. permitting non-standard base-pairing at the 3rd anti-codon position. Lineage: Eukaryota; Glaucocystophyceae; Gloeochaetales; Gloeochaetaceae. The record is from RNAcentral.